RNAcentral lists this ribosomal RNA (301 nucleotides) under uncultured bacterium. Its description in RNAcentral is "partial 16S ribosomal RNA". It matches the Rfam family "Bacterial small subunit ribosomal RNA", at positions 509 to 807 of the family's 1533-position model. The record is from RNAcentral.
CAGUCGCCGCGGGAAUACGAAGGGGGCUAGCGUUGUUCGGAUUUACUGGGCGUAAAGCGCACGUAGGCGGACUUUUAAGUCAGGGGUGAAAUCCCGGGGCUCAACCCCGGAACUGCCUUUGAUACUGGGAGUCUUGAGUUCGAGAGAGGUGAGUGGAAUUGCGAGUGUAGAGGUGAAAUUCGUAGAUAUUCGCAGGAACACCAGUGGCGAAGGCGGCUCACUGGCUCGAUACUGACGCUGAGGUGCGAAAGCGUGGGGAGCAAACAGGAUUAGAUACCCGAGUAGUCCCUGUCUCUUAUAC